Molecule: non-coding RNA, 1604 nt
Organism: Oncorhynchus mykiss (rainbow trout)
Lineage: Eukaryota; Metazoa; Chordata; Actinopteri; Salmoniformes; Salmonidae
Source: RefSeq, a predicted model, not a curated record
CUCGGUUACUGCCGAUGUGGCAUUUUGUGUCCCUUGUCGAAAGUUCUGUGUUGGGUCCAAUGCUAACACAGACAAGGCCUUCACUCAAGCUGGGUAUUCUAACUGGAAGAAUAACAUUGAUAGUACCAAAGGAUUUGAUGCACAGGCUCCAAGCAAAUUAUGACCUUAUGUAACGACAAAUCUCCAGCAAUAUGUAGUGGACAGUACAGUAAGGACAGAGGAGGAGAGACUGAGUAUAAAAUAAUGUUCUUCAGCACGUUGGGAUGCUGUCAAUGGUGAAAUGUCCUGCAAUGAUUCUCUGGGCCUGUCUUCGCUAUGCCGACCGUGCUUACUGCACUGAAACACUUUUGGGCCAUCCACUGGUACAUGCGAGAACUCAUUUUCCACUUUGACAAACAUGUUCAGUCAACACAGAAGAAGCAUGCUACACCCAAGGAAAGCUCAACUAAUCCAACUGGCAUUUGAGGGGGAUCUUACCAGAAGAUUUCAGGGAGAAUUGAAUGAUUGAUUACUCAGGAAGUUCAACAGAACAUCAAGGAGGCUGCAACUCUUUCGAAAAGGCCACCGCCCAGCAGUUGAUCCGGCGCGCACAGUGUCUUGGGAGGGCAAGCAGUGGAGGACAUGGCAUCUCUACAUUGGUCCAUGUAGAGAGGAGCUAGCUGCAGAAGAGUGCUGUGGAGCUACAGGGCACGGAUGUACCAGGGUCUCUCUUCAUCAUCAACCACUGGGUGGACACGGGUUUGACAGGAUCACUGGCAGCAAUACUAGCAACCUUCCCUCAGGGUCACAUCAAUGCUCUCCUCCACUAAAAUAGAAACACCUACAGAAUCCUAAACCGCUCCCAAUGCAAUCCAAUGCGUUGGGAAUAUCCUUUAACUACACCAAGCCAAGUGACACAAAAUGCACUGAGAAAUAUGAGAAAGUGGAGCAUGUCUCUAGUAUCUCUGUUAACUUCCCCCUGCUGGCUAUCUGUUGCUUCCCGUAAUAAACUGGGAGAUUAUGAGCAGGCCAGAUGUGGAGAGGGAACAUUCUCCUCCGGGCUGGGACCUAUGUAGGCCACUGACUGAGAGUACUGACUGGAGCUCAACCAACCUCUCUUCUGAAUGUCUUAUCUGGGGGGAACAAAUACCAACACAUUUUGGAUGCAUGUGUGAUGUGUAGGGACAGGAGGUUUUCCUGAGUAUGAAAGGGAAAAGCUUGGCCCUAAUGAUGUACAGUAUCUAGUCAUAGAGGGGGUCUGGCAUGGGUGAAUACUGUAGAUGGGAUGGAGAUUGUGCUGACUUAUAUCAUGCUGACAAUAGACAUCUCUCAUUACUAAACAUUGAUAUGUCCACAGUUAUUUGUGAUAGUUAGUAUUGUUGUGUCAGUCUAUUUUGAGCACUGAGAAGCAACUCUUGAGGCAUUUCUUGUUCUCGAUAUUCCAUUAGUCGAACAGACAUGAACCUUCUACGAUGUUUACCACAUACUGUGUAUGAGAGCUCCCAAUAAACUAAAUUGGGGUUCUUUCUUUUUCCAGAGGCUCCUUCAGACGUUUUAGUUGCAUCCUUUCAAGAACCUUGUUUUGGUUCGUCUAAUCUCUUUGAUGAUCAAAUAUAAUAAAAUUG